GAUGAACGCUGGCGGCGUGCCUAAUACAUGCAAGUCGAGCGAACGGACGAGAAGCUUGCUUCUCUGAUGUUAGCGGCGGACGGGUGAGUAACACGUGGAUAACCUACCUAUAAGACUGGGAUAACUUCGGGAAACCGGAGCUAAUACCGGAUGAUAUUUUGAACCGCAUGGUUCAAAAGUGAAAGACGGUCUUGCUGUCACUUAUAGAUGGAUCCGCGCUGCAUUAGCUAGUUGGUAAGGUAACGGCUUACCAAGGCAACGAUGCAUAGCCGACCUGAGAGGGUGAUAGGCCACACUGGAACUGAGACACGGUCCAGACUCCUAAGGGAGGCAGCAGUAGGGAAUCUUCCGCAAUGGGCGAAAGCCUGACGGAGCAACGCCGCGUGAGUGAUGAAGGUCUUCGGAUCGUAAAACUCUGUUAUUAGGGAAGAACAUAUGUGUAAGUAACUGUGCACAUCUUGACGGUACCUAAUCAGAAAGCCACGGCUAACUACGUG
RNAcentral lists this ribosomal RNA (497 nucleotides) under uncultured bacterium. RNAcentral describes it as "partial 16S ribosomal RNA". It matches the Rfam family "Bacterial small subunit ribosomal RNA", at positions 28 to 507 of the family's 1533-position model. The record is from RNAcentral.